Molecule: ribosomal RNA, 253 nt
Filed under: uncultured bacterium
Lineage: Bacteria
Description: partial 16S ribosomal RNA
Rfam family: Bacterial small subunit ribosomal RNA
Source: RNAcentral
UACGUAGGGUGCAAGCGUUGUCCGGAAUUAUUGGGCGUAAAGAGCUCGUAGGCGGUUUGUCGCGUCUGCUGUGAAAACCCGGGGCUUAACCCCGGGCCUGCAGUGGGUACGGGCAGACUAGAGUGCGGUAGGGGAGACUGGAAUUCCUGGUGUAGCGGUGAAAUGCGCAGAUAUCAGGAGGAACACCGGUGGCGAAGGCGGGUCUCUGGGCCGUAACUGACGCUGAGGAGCGAAAGCGUGGGGAGCAAACAGG